This 492-nucleotide ribosomal RNA is filed under the name uncultured bacterium. Its description in RNAcentral is "partial 16S ribosomal RNA". It matches the Rfam family "Bacterial small subunit ribosomal RNA", at positions 29 to 507 of the family's 1533-position model. The record is from RNAcentral.
AGUGAACGCUGGCGGUAGGCCUAACACAUGCAAGUCGAACGGCAGCACAGUAAGAGCUUGCUCUUACGGGUGGCGAGUGGCGGACGGGUGAGGAAUACAUCGGAAUCUACUUUUUCGUGGGGGAUAACGUAGGGAAACUUACGCUAAUACCGCAUACGACCUACGGGUGAAAGCAGGGGAUCUUCGGACCUUGCGCGAUUGAAUGAGCCGAUGUCGGAUUAGCUAGUUGGCGGGGUAAAGGCCCACCAAGGCGACGAUCCGUAGCUGGUCUGAGAGGAUGAUCAGCCACACUGGAACUGAGACACGGCCCAGACUCCUACGGGAGGCAGCAGUGGGGAAUAUUGGACAAUGGGCGCAAGCCUGAUCCAGCCAUACCGCGUGGGUGAAGAAGGCCUUCGGGUUGUAAAGCCCUUUUGUUGGGAAGGAAAAGCAGCAGGUUAAUACCCCGCUGUUCUGACGGUACCCAAAGAAUAAGCACCGGCUAACUUCGUG